Molecule: non-coding RNA, 918 nt
Organism: Pelobates cultripes (western spadefoot toad)
Lineage: Eukaryota; Metazoa; Chordata; Amphibia; Anura; Pelobatidae
Source: the annotation of a GenBank genome assembly
AGACAAUGAUGUGUUGAGGACUUCUGUUGAAAUGUAUAGCCUAUGAUGGAUAACCUAUCUUCAUUCGAUGCAAUUAGAUGUUUAUGCUUACCUGCAAAAAAAAGGAAUUAAAAAACAAAAAAAGAAGUGGAACAUUCUGGGAUCUUUUCAUACCAAUGGCAGUCAUUACUGUUCAAUCACUUAUUAAUAAGUGGGAAUUCAUGGAUCUCUUGAUACCAAGACAAGGUCAGAUAGACCAAAAAAGAUUUCAGCAACAGCUGCCAGAAGAAUUGUUCAGGAUACAAAGAAAAACCCACAGGUAACCUCAGGAGAAAUACAGGAUGCUAUAUUUGGAGAGGGGUCAAUAAGGCUUAUAGUGAAAAGAAUACCAUCCCCAGUGUGAAUCAUGGUGGUGGGUCACUGAUGUUUUGGGGGGAUGUGAGCUCUAAAGGCACGGGGUAUAUUGUGAAAAUUGAUGGCAGGAUGAAUACAGCAUGUUAUGAGAAAAUACUGUCAGACUCUGGGACUUUCCAGCAUGACAAUGAUUUUAAGCACAAGGCCAAGUGGAUCCUCCUGUGGUUACAGCAGAAAAAGGUGAAGGUUCUGGAGUGGCCAUCACAGUCUCCUGCCUUAAUAUCAUUAGGCCACUCUGGGGAGAUCUCAAAUAUGCAGUUCAUACAAGACGUCCAAAGACUUUGCAUAACCUGGAGGCAUUUUGCCAAGAUGAAUGGGCAGCUAUACCACCUGCGAGAAUUAGGGGCCUCAAUGACAAUUAUUACAAAAGACUGCACGCUGUCAUUGAUGCUAAAGUGGGCAAUACACUAUUAAGAACUAAGGGUAUGCAGACUUUUGAAAAGGGGUCAUUUAAUUUGUUUUCUUUGUUGCCAUGUUUUGUUUUAUGAUUGUGCCAUUCUGUUAUAACCUACAGUUGAAUAUGAA